Long non-coding RNA from Acanthopagrus latus (yellowfin seabream), 654 nucleotides. RefSeq lists it as uncharacterized. The transcript is spliced from 3 exons. NCBI's taxonomy places the organism in Eukaryota, Metazoa, Chordata, Actinopteri, Spariformes, Sparidae. The record is from RefSeq and is a predicted model, not a curated record.
UCCAUUAAGUGUCAUUUUCCUUCUUUGAAAAGACAAAAUUGCAGUGAAAAAGGUCACUCCCCAGCGUAGCUCUGCCCGACUUCAGCCCGAACAGAGAUCCAAUCCACCAGAAUAACUAAAAACACCUGUGUGGGUGUGUUGGAUGAACGGAAUGGAACAAAGUAACUCAUCAUCUAAUUAAAGGUGGCACCCUAUCUUUCACAUUGCAUCCAGUGUCUGACCAUCAAGCUUCAGUGACAAUGUUCCCCCACUCGCCCCGCCGUCUGUUUCGUCACCACCAUUUCAGGGCUGGCUCAUGCUCCAGGGUUUACGGGAAGACUUAAAUAGAAACAUUCCUGGGAGGACAUCUGUGUCUCACUGUGGCUUUUGGAAAUAUAAACUGCUGGCAUUUUCUCCAGACGACUGGGCAAGGACAGCUUCCGUGACAAGGACAGGACACUGCCGAAACUGACUUCAUUACAAAAAACUGUGACUAAAUGUCCAUAAAAUGAUGAUGAUGAAAAAAGAGGAGGCAAAUUACAAAUCCCCUUGUCAUUGGAUUGCUCCAAUUUUUCUUCCGGCAUGUCCAAAUCACAUUUACAGUGACUUUGCUCUUUGAACUAGGUGAACACCACAGCAAGUUCCACUGAAAACUGACUGACAAUAAAAAGGAUG